UACGGAGGGUGCAAGCGUUAUCCGGAUUCACUGGGUUUAAAGGGUGCGUAGGCGGACAGGUAAGUCAGUGGUGAAAUCUCUGGGCUUAACCCAGAAACUGCCGUUGAUACUAUUUGUCUUGAAUAUCCUGGAGGUAGGCGGAAUAUGUCAUGUAGCGGUGAAAUGCUUAGAUAUGACAUAGAACACCGAUAGCGAAGGCAGCUUACUACAGGAUGAUUGACGCUGAGGCACGAAAGCGUGGGGAGCAAACAGG
RNAcentral lists this ribosomal RNA (253 nucleotides) under uncultured bacterium. RNAcentral's name for it is "partial 16S ribosomal RNA". It matches the Rfam family "Bacterial small subunit ribosomal RNA", at positions 524 to 776 of the family's 1533-position model. The record is from RNAcentral. RNAcentral also lists the same sequence under 1 other name.